ACACGACUACAUUAGAUACCCGGGUAGUCCUAGCCGUAAACGAUACUCGCUAGGUGUCGGCCACGGUGCGACCGUUGUCGGUGCCGUAGGGAAGCCGUGAAGCGAGCCACCUGGGAAGUACGGGCCGCAAGGCUGAAACUUAAAGGAAUUGGCGGGGGAGCACCACAACGGGUGGAGCUUGCGGUUUAAUUGGAUUCAACGCCGGAAAUCUUACCGGGACCGACAGCAACAUGAAGGCCAGGCUGAAGACUUUGCCGGAUUAGCUG
Molecule: ribosomal RNA, 266 nt
Filed under: uncultured archaeon
Lineage: Archaea
Description: partial 16S ribosomal RNA
Rfam family: Archaeal small subunit ribosomal RNA
Source: RNAcentral